ACCCGUUGAUCCUGCGGGAGGUUGCUGCUAGGGGGAUUCGAUUUAGCCAUGCAAGUCUGAUCGCAAGAUCGGCGAAAUGCUCAGUAACACGUCGUUAACGUGUCCUUCGGUUAAGGAUAAGCACGGGAAACUGUGUGUAAUACUUAAUAGGGGAGUCAACCUGGAAAUGGUGACUCCUUUGAAACUCGUGCCGGAGGGUCGGACGGCGGCAGAUUAGGUUGUUGGCGGUGUAAUGGACCACCAAGCCGAAGAUCUGUACGGGCCUUGAGAGAGGUAGCCCGGAGAGGGACACUGAGAUACUGGUCCCAGCCCUACGGGGUGCAGCAGGUACGAAACCUUUACAAUGCACGCAAGUGUGAUAAGGGGAUCCCCCGUGCUCAAGCAUUGCUUGGGCUUUUGCCUAGUGUAAAUAGCUUAGCGAAUAAGUGGUGGGUAAGACUGGUGCCAGCCGCCGCGGUAACACCAGCGCCACGAGUGGUAACCACGUUUAUUGGGCCUAAAGCGUCCGUAGCCGGUUUAGUAAAUCUUUUGUGAAAUUGUGCGGCUCAACCGUACAACGUGCAAGAGACACUGCUAAACUUGAGACCGGGAGGAGUCAGAAGUAUUCCAGGGGGAGCGGUAAAAUGUUAUAAUCCCUGGAGGACUACCUGUGGCGAAGGCGUCUGACCAGAACGGAUCUGACGGUGAGGGACGAAAGCCAGGGGAGCGAACCGGAUUAGAUACCCGAGUAGUCCUGGCCGUAAGCGCUGUGAGCUAGGUGUUGCGUUAGCCACGAGCUAGCGCAGUGUCGAAAAGAAGUUGUUAAGCUCACCGCCUGGGAAGUACGGUCGCAAGACUGAAACUUUAAGGAAUUGGCGGGGGAGCACCACAAGGGGUGCGGCGUGCGGUUUAAUCUAACUCAACGCAGAGAACCUUACUAGGGGCGACAGUAGGAUGAAGGUCAGCUUGAAGAGCUUACCUGACAGACUAAGAGGUGGUGCAUGGCCGCCGUCAGCUCGUGCUGUGAAGUGUCCAGCUAAGCCUGGCAACGAGCGAGACCUGUAUCUGCAAUUGCUAGCGGGUGUUUACACGACCGAGCACUUUGCAGAGACUGCCCUGGAAACAGGGAGGAAGGUGCAGGCUACGGUAGGUCUGUAUGCCCCGAAUCCCCUAGGCUACACGCGCGCAACAAUGGUUGGGACAAUGGGAUGCCACUCCGAAAGGAGAAGCUAAACCUCUAAACCCAAUCCAAGUCCAGAUUGAGGCUUGCAACUCAGCCUCAUGACGACGGAAUCCCUAGUAAUCAGAAGUCAUCAUCUUCUGGUGAAUAUGUCCCUGCUCCUUGCACACACCGCCCGUCAAAUCAACCGAGCAGGGUCUGGGUAAAACGUAGUUUCUUGAUUACGUUGAAUCUAGGCUCAGUGAGGUGGGUUAAGUCGUCACAAGGUA
Molecule: ribosomal RNA, 1428 nt
Filed under: metagenome
Description: bacterial SSU rRNA
Rfam family: Archaeal small subunit ribosomal RNA
Source: RNAcentral